GCCCGGGUGGUGGAAUUGGUAGACACAAGGGACUUAAAAUCCCUCGCCAGCAAUGGCGUGCCGGUUCAAGUCCGGCUCCGGGUACCA
RNAcentral lists this transfer RNA (87 nucleotides) under Flavobacteriaceae bacterium. Its description in RNAcentral is "tRNA-Leu". It matches the Rfam family "tRNA". From Rfam's summary of the family: Transfer RNA (tRNA) molecules are approximately 80 nucleotides in length. Lineage: Bacteria; Pseudomonadati; Bacteroidota; Flavobacteriia; Flavobacteriales; Flavobacteriaceae. RNAcentral also lists the same sequence under 4 other names. The record is from RNAcentral.